Molecule: non-coding RNA, 347 nt
Organism: Salvelinus sp. IW2-2015
Lineage: Eukaryota; Metazoa; Chordata; Actinopteri; Salmoniformes; Salmonidae
Source: RefSeq, a predicted model, not a curated record
AAGGACUCAAGUGUAACAACUCUGAAGGAGAAUCACCAGAGAGCUGGAUGACUGUGACAGAUAUCUCUCUUCCUGACUCUCUGAGUGUCAGUCCUGACAGAUCUCAGUUCUUUAAAUAUGAGUCUGUUUUUCUGAGCUGUGAGGUUCAGGGGAACUCUGCUGGAUGGAGAGUGAUGAGGAACGCAGAGAGAGGAAUCCUUUCAGAGUGUAAUACUGACUGGGGAAAACAACAAGGGUCUUCAUGCCUCAUGUCACUAAUACCAUCAGACACUGGAGUGUACUGGUGUGAGUCUGGGUCUGGAGAACACAGCAAUGCUGUCAACAUCACUGUACAUGAUGGAGCUGUG